CACGUAGGGUGCGAGCGUUGUCCGGAAUUAUUGGGCGUAAAGAGCUCGUAGGCGGUGUGUCGCGUCGGCCGUGAAAACCUGCAGCUUAACUGUGGGCGUGCGGUCGAUACUGGCAUCACUGGAGUUCGGCAGGGGAGACUGGAAUUCCUGGUGUAGCGGUGAAAUGCGCAGAUAUCAGGAAGAACACCCGUGGCGAAGGCGGCUCUCUGGGACGGUACUGACGCUGAGACGCGAAAGCGUGGGGAGCGAACAGG
RNAcentral lists this ribosomal RNA (254 nucleotides) under uncultured bacterium. Its description in RNAcentral is "partial 16S ribosomal RNA". It matches the Rfam family "Bacterial small subunit ribosomal RNA", at positions 524 to 776 of the family's 1533-position model. The record is from RNAcentral.